This is an RNA transcript of Felis catus (domestic cat), 8286 nucleotides long. RefSeq lists it as uncharacterized. The transcript is spliced from 3 exons. The record is from RefSeq and is a predicted model, not a curated record. Lineage: Eukaryota; Metazoa; Chordata; Mammalia; Carnivora; Felidae.
CACAGAGCCUGAUGUGGGGCUUGAACUCACGGACUGCGAGAUCAUGACCUGAGCUGAAGUUGGACGCUCAACCGAGUGAGCCAUCCAGGUGCCGCUGGUAUUUUUGAUUUUUGUCUUCAGUUACUUAUUCCAUGUUUCUUUGAGUUCAGCCAGAACAUCAGUGGAUUAGUCUUUUACUAGGUGGAAUGGUCUAAACCUUCAUUGCCAUCUGAGCUACUGGUGGUCUGUUUAUUAUCACAGAAAUCUUCCAUUAACUCCUACUAUAUUUAGUAUUACCACAGGGUUCCAUCCAUACUUCUUCCAUCCUUUAUCAUGAAGCAGCAAGACUGUUCACUCAGCCAACACUCUAACCCUCCCCACACCUUCCAAACCACUGGAAUCAUCACUGUGUUCCUCUUGUAUUUCUCCUUUGCUCACCUCUCAAUCAGCAAAGCCCAGAAUCACAGGGAAUGGAGGCAGAGACUUUGGGUCACUGAGGUAUUAACAGAGGAGUGCUAUCCCCCUUCCUCUUUAGUUCCCAGACCCUUGCUUAUAUAGAGGCCGUGGUCAUGGAUUCACAGCAUAUAACAACUGUACUGUAUUUAUUCCAACCUCACCAAUCGCGGUCUCCUUGGAAGGCCAGCUGAUUCAGGGUGCUGGGUAUUUAUGUUGAAUAUAGUGAAUUCUGCUGGCAUAGCCUACCAUCUUCCUCUUCAAUGUGAAGAAAAUUUUGUGAUCAGAAAGCAAGUGUCCAAUGGGAUAACUUAACAACAUAAAAACAUGUGAGUGAGUCCUUGAAAGAUGGUAUUGGCAGAUGGAGGACAAAGCAAACCCAAUUCCAGAAUGUGCCCCUCCAGGGAGGACAAAUUGCUGCUUCUUUCUGUGCUCAUUCUAAGAAAUUGGACCAUACUUUUCCCGCAGACCUCCUUACUACCAGUGCUCUAGUCCUGCUCUCACAAAUCUCUGAUCACCAGGUUAUUAGCCACAGGACUAUGGAUUAGCAUGGAUUUUUAUAUCAGUCAUCUCUACCUCCUGCCACAAUGGAAGAGAUGUGUUGCUCCAAAAUUCUGCUGCCUUGGAGGGUUUUCUGUGUCCACUGGUCAUCAGGGCUAGUAUAGUAACAGUGCCUUCACUUAGACGGGUAGGUCACAGUGGAGUUCUGGGUCUCCGGGAAUUAACAUUAGCACAGGCCCAGUGUCUCUGAUAAUCCCCAGAAUGUCUGGUUAUUUCUCAGGAUACCUGGCAAUGGUCUGGUGAGUGGCUUCAGGUCCUUUGGGGAAAACUUGGAGGAAGCAAGAUCCAUAGCAAGUACUUAUGAUGUUAUUUCAGGGCCCUUUCCCUAGACAUCUGGCUUCCUCUUUCUUUGACCUGGACCUGAGACUGGGUCAGGUGCCAUGACUAUGUUGUGACGACUCCAAUCAGACCUUUGUUUAUUAAGUGGAAGAUUUUUAAAUUCUAAAAAUCAAAUAGGAUCUUUGACCAUCUAUUGUGGUCUUCAGGACUCCACAAUUAGUUGGGCAGCACCAAAGAACCCUGCGGGUCAGACCCUUGUAAUAAAUGCACUGUCUUCUGGUUAUGGUAGCCACAUCACCUGGCUUCACACAUUGCAGCUACCUGGUCUCUGCUAUCCCAGGAUCCACUCAUCCCCACUGAAACCAGAAAGCCCAUUUGUACUGCAAUGUCUCCCUAUCAAUUGCAUCUCCCACCAGUUGUCACAGUUUCUACGGACAGAGUCACUCAACAAUCUUUCCAGCACUCUCUCCCUUGCCUUCCUAUGCUCCUUGGCAAGUGAAUUACUGAGUCACGUGAUUUCCAUUACAGCCACACAUGGCUAUGUGACAUAGUUCUAGAUAGCACAAGGAAGUAGAAAUCCCUGGGACAGGCUUUCUUCCUGAAAUGAGGGCACAACCUUUAAAGAUGCAGCAACCAUCUUCAAACAUGAAGGUGAGAACCAUGGGUGACUGAGGCAGUGCAAGAACACAAGGAGCCUGUUUCCCUGAGAGCACCACUGAGGUGACCUACUAGCCCUAGGUGUCCUAUGCCCAGAUUUUUUUAUAUGCCAGAGGCAGAUAAACCUCUUGAUUACUUCUCUGAGUAGGGUACCUAUUAAAACCAAGAUCAAUCCUAACAAAUACACCAGUGUAUUUCUAAAGCCUUGUUGAGGAAGUAUUUUCUGAUACCCCCUCUAUCUUGGGGGACAUGGUUGGGUAGUGGUAAGUUGGUGAGUUAGACAUGAUUCAUUCACUCAACAUGUCUAUCUCACAGUCUUUGAAUUUCUUCCUUUAUGUUACACAAAGGUAUUUCAGCCAUCUCAGUGAGGUAGGAGGGCUAAAAGGACUCCACUUAUUUUUAUUUAUUACUUUUUCAAAGAAAGUUUUGGUUUAUUAUUUAUUUGAGAGAAAGAGCAUGUGCGCACAUGAGCAGGAGAGAGGGGAAAACGGAAACAAACAGGCUCCACCCUCAGCACAGAGCCCUACUUGGGGCUCUAUCCCAUGACCAUGAGAUCAUGACCUGAGCCAAAAUCAAGUCAGAGGCUUAACUGAGCUACCUAGGUGGGUAGCUACCCAGGUGGGACCCCUAAAGGGUUCCAUUUUAUAAAGGCUCCAUCCCUGCUGUUUUUCUGCUAGGCCUCAUUUACUUGUAUUCCAUAUUUUGCCUCUGAAGAAGCCCAAGCAGCCAUGUUCUCACUUCAAGGAGGAAGCAAGAAAGUUAAUCCUUUCCUGAGUUUUGUCCUAGGCCCCCAAACACCUGAUGACAUCUAAGAAGAUCCAGAUCCCAAACAUGUUCUAGGACAUUAGCUUCAAACAAAUCUUAGGUUACACUGGCAUCAAAACCCCUUACCUUCGGUAAUUUAUGGAAUAACACCAUAGUUCACCUGACACGCACCUUUGGUCGGAUCCUACCCUGGAUUCCCUGGGGGAACAUGUACCCUAGAUUCCUCCCUUCCAAUACAAACCCCUAACCCCAAGUGACAGGCAUUCUUUCCUUUCUGAGUCUCCCAGACCUCCAUCUGCUACUCUCUACCUGUCACACCACUCAAUAAACUCUGUUUUCACUUUCUCUGGCUCACGUUUGAUUUCUAUCCUGCACAAAGCCAAGGACCCUCCUCUGGGUCCUUGGACCUGGCUUACCCACGUCAUAUUUUGAUGACAUGAAGGAACCCUUAGAGGAACAACGGUACCCCAAACUACAUCUGUGUAGUACAAUUUGACCUCCUCACUACGCAGGGGUACUGGUAUGUUCCUCCUCUGGGAAACAGAGUUGGAAAGUACAGGGUUACUUCCUAUCUCUGUACUUUUUCUGUGAACUGGACUGUUCUCUGGGAAGAAGGAAAUGUGGAAAAACAUGUCUGGGGACCUGUUCUCACUCUCUCCUCUCCUGGUGCACCUCCAGGGAUCCCAAGACAGAGCAGAAUCUCAUGGUGGUGCACCAGGGCUCACUGGUGCAUUUCCCCAGGCUAGUAACUCAGAUGACCACAGGAGGUUACUCCUGCUUUCUGUGUGCUCUGCUGGCUCCAAGUUUUACUUUCACCACAAACUCUCUCCACUCUGGCUUCUGGACAAUUUCAAGGCUGUUGGUUGGCAUAAGAGACUGAGUCACUAGCUCUGAAGAAAUGGGACUCUUGCUUCUUUUCCCCGAAGGGAACAGUCCUAUAGGGAACUCUCUCUCAUGGCAAUUAAUUAUCUGGCUCGGCCAGGAAUGCACAUGGAAGGAUUGAUCAUCCAGUGCUGUGACAAACCCCUACAGCAGUUUUAGACUGCUGCUUGGGAAAAACCAAGACACAUCAAAGAGGAAGAUCAGUUCCUUGGUGACUAUCUGGGAAGUUGUCCCCGUAAGUAGCCCAUUCCACCCACCACUUUGUUCCCCUAGAAUAGACUCCUAACUGUCUCUUUACUUUUUUGUCCACUGUCAGGUGACUGUGUCAUUGCAGUUCUGGUACAUCAGGAUUGAAUUGAGGCAAUUCCGGGACAGUAGAACUGCCUUAAAGAUUGUUGGACAAUGCUGUUGUUGGACCAAAGGAUGGUCCUGCCGCCCCAGUUGCGCUGGGUUAUUGGAUGAUGGUAGAGGAGACACACGGCGGGCUGGAAAUGUGGCAGGGUCCACUGGGGCCUUUGCCUGUCGGGGGGGCCACACAGUCUCUACCAAACAACCUCCCUGCACUGGAAUCGCCUCUCCCCAUGUGGCUCAAGGACCCCUGGAUUCACUCUGCUCCUGGGGAUUUGCCCUUCUCACCAGAGCACUGUCAGGUCUUGAAAUAAUCUCUUCAACACCUAUAAUGGCUGAUCCAAAUGAUACUCAGCACUUCCUUAGGUACGUGUGGUUCUCAGCUGGUGAAGGAAUCCUUGACUUGCAGGAACCAAGUGUGAUUUAUCACUGCUUCACUCAAAAUAGGGCCUUGGCAGCCGGUAAAGCCAUUAAAGAUAUUGUGCGUCUCAACCCUAAAAAUAAUUCUGAAGAAAUACUUGCAGUGAGUGAACUGUGACAGGAGUUUCUCCAGGUGGAUCCUUCAUUCAUGUGUCUAAGGCUGACUGCUGUAUGUAGAUCACUAUGGACAGGUAGGGUUAAUGGGGGCUACCAUCUGCUACUUCCUAGUUCACAUCCAUCAUCAUCUGGUCCUUGUAGACACUACUCAAAGUUCUUUGUCAUAUAAAUACUUUACACUUAUGGUUUACUUUGUCUACACAUAGAAUCAUUAUUCCCAAAUUACCAAUGAUUAGUUUGUUUUUUCACACAUAAAAAAACAGGACCUUGCUUAUUGUAGGCACUCAAAUAUAUCCUUAAUGAAUAUUAACUCAAAAUAUAUAAUCAUGUGAAAACAGAACUGCAGGGCAAAGACAAUAUCUUGGUGAAAGAUUCCAAUGGCAAGCAGUACCUGGCACAUGGUAAGUGUUUAUUAACAUGUGUUGUGUAUGUACCUACAUAGAGCAAUGGACGUGACUAAGGUACUUGAUCUAAAGAGUCCCUUCAUUUGCAGGGAGGUUUCAGAGUUUUUGGCAGACAAGAAAGAAGGUCAACACAACAUACUGAAGAACACUGGAUUACGAGUAAGCAGAGUGGUUCAUGGAGCUCUUUUGCUACAGGAAGGCCAUUUAACCAUCUGGGGUCUUGGCUGCCCAUACUCUUGGCCAUCAGACCCAGUGGUUCCCACUCAGCUCCCCCUAGCAUGCCUGAUCUGGACUCCAGUUCAACAGAUGGCAGUGACCUUUUAACUCUCCUGCCCUGGUGCUGACCACAGUGGCACUGCAGUGAUGGCCUCUGCAGUACUGGGUAUGGUAUCUGCAGCAUUACCCGAAUAUCUUGUUGCACUUUGUCCUUAUUGUUUAACAAAUGUGGAUGGUAGAUAGCAAUAAGAAAUCCUGAUACUUGUGAUAACAGGUCCCACACGCCAUUGCCUUUUUGUCAGUUGAGACAUGCGUGGAAAUCACUAGUACACUAAAUCCUUAGCCAAACCAGUUGCUUCUUUUUUUUUUUUUUUUUAAGUUUAUUUAUUUAAGUAAACCCCACAUCCAGUGUGGAGAUCCCCAAGAUCAAGAGCCACAUGCUCUUCUGACUGAGCCAGCCAGGUGCCCCCCAAACCAGCUGCUUCUGGACUCAAUCUGUAAACUGUAUGUUCAGCUGUGAGAGUGAUACACAAAUUUGAAAACAUGAUGGAUAUCAAUUUCUACUCUUCAUUGAGUGCUUACUCUGUUAAGUGUUUAACAUACAUGAUCUUGCUUGACCCACUGAGGUAGCUGCUAUUUACAAUCCCUAUUUUAUAGAUGAAGAAACACGAGAGAGGUUGCCACACAGCCCAGUCACACAGCCACUUGCCAGUGCAGCCAGGAGCUGAGCUCGCUCCAUGACUUGUUGACUAUUUUAUCUUUGACAAGUUCAUUAAUUUCUCUGUGCCUCACUAUUUUCAUCCAUAAAGUGGGAAUAACAGCAGCACUUCAUGGAGGGGAUUGAAUGAAGUAAAGCAUGUGACAUGCUCACCUCGGUGGCUGAUGCAUAGCAAGCACAUGCUAAACUUCAGCUAUUUUAUUCUUAACAAUGAUGAAAGGCUGGAAAUACAGGACAGAUGUUUGCCUGUGUAUACAGACCGUUAGUCUGGGCUAACAAAAAAAAAAAUAAGGUACACAGUAUAACACUUGAGUUUCUCAGCGUUUGGUCCACUUCAGUCAGGUAUGAAGCACUAAUUUGUGUCACUGCCCCCCAAAAGAUAAUUCAGAUCCCAAAACAUCAACAGUAUUUAAUGGCUGCUGCCUGUGCCAGGCCUGCAGGUUUUGGGGCUCUUUUCUAUGUUGCAACUGCUUUCCUAAGGCUUCUGGUUAAAAAAUAACAAUAGGUCAUGUCUCUCUGGAGUAGCAGAUGUCUGUGGGCUUUGGAUCCCAGAAAACCUGACUUCCUCACUCUUGUAUCAAAACAUUUUGGACUCUUUCACCAUGGACUUCUAGUAGAUGUUAAUCACCACCACUAUCCUUAUUCCUCUCACUUCUCCUUAAAGGCAUUUUAGAAUCUCUGUGCCUCCUCUACCCACCAGAUAUCAGGUCUAUACUAUCUCUACUAGUCCAAGCCCCUACUCUGCUUCUUAGACAGUGACUGUCACAGUGACUAGGAUGGUUCACUCUUUCAUGACUCCACACUAUACGUUAGCAUUUCGAGAUACUUAAAAGAGUUAAAAAUAACAUGUUUCAAUAAGCAACUACCCCUCAGCUCUGGAUGAGAUGUCUUAUACCAGCCACCUAUGAGGGAAAAUAGUUUAGAAAAGAACAAGAAAUAAUCACAUACCGUACAGAGGAGCAGAGACCUUUGGACUAACCCAACAUUUGGCAGCAUAUCACACAACAGGUCCAAAUCUUCCCUCAGUGACCCUACAGGUGCUUACCUUGUAGAAGAUCGAUUCUGCAGUGAUUAUAGUGGAAACAGACUCAGGAGCUUUGAUGGGCUAGGAAAAAAAACAAAAGCAAACAUAUUAGCACACUCAUAGUGUAUUAUAUGUGUGUAGUGUGUAUAGACAUUUUCCCAGCCAUCUAUGAGAAUUCUGUAACUUCAGAAAUCCUAAAUCUCUUUAUUGACAAGGAAUGCAAUAAAAAGACAAACGAUUUUCUGAAUGUUGUGGCAAGGCAGUUUGAAUAUUUCCACAGAUAUUUCUGCUACCAGCAGCUUAAAAAUUGCUGAGAACCAAAGCACAAGCUUCUGAUUAUGCUGCUUAGAUCCACUGCAUGCACUCUCAAAGCUUUAUUACAUAUUAACAUUCUAGUUAUAAAAAUAUCCUGGCUCCGAUGGCCUGGGCAUGAUAGGAGUGGAAGUCAUAAAAAAUGUGUAGGUGAACACAAGGUGAAAAAGUGUCUCCUUUGAAGACAUUUUCCAUCUCAGCUUAUCUGUGGAACUACUAGGAUACUCAUUGUCAUCAGAAGUAAUUUUCUAGCAAGGCUGAACUAAGGCUAUAUGAAGUUUCCUUGGGAGUUCUUAGUAAAUUUGUCACCACCCAACCAUUCCUGAAAUCCCUUCUAAAGCUGCAGUAUAUGCUGUGUGCCACAACACAAAAACCAGGCCUCCCCAAAUAUGUCUUGGCAUCAUCCUUGAAGAAAGGGGUUGCUAGAGAAAUUGAUACUGAAAUAACUGCAGGGCAUAUUCAGCCACACAUGAGAGGAAAAUAUGUGUUUAAGUGACACAACUAUAGUCAAACGCACACUUACUUAACAUGCUUUGUCUAGUCAAUAAAUGCCUCAUUUUAAGAAAACUAAAUUAUAAAAGUCUUAAGUAAAUUAGGGGCAACUCUUCUCAAUGGGAAAAGAAUCUGCAAUCUGCACAAGAAUAUACUGCAGGGCCCCUGUGUUUUACAAAUGAAUAUGCCCAACUUCAGAAAUGCCUUUGCAGGUAAGUGAAACAUUCCUGUUCUGAAAGAACACCAUACUAAGGUUUAUUUUAUUUUUUUCACCAUACUAAGGUUUAAAAAAAGUAGUCUACAUUUGUGUUUGGCCAUUUUCCCCUUGUGUUUACAAAAAUCCUGAGUAUUUAACUGCAAAAAAGGCGCUUUCAACUACCCCCAGCACAAGUCUGUCAACCAUCUAUUUUCUUACAGCAGAAGAAAAGGUUAGCAAAAUAUUUGAUUCAUAUUCAUCAAACUGAUCAUCAUAAGUCAGUAAGAUACAGUUUCUGGGGCUGUAAUAACAAACAUGUAAAUGAAUAAGUUACGGUAUUAUUUACUUCAAUCUUUAAAGAAUAAAAAGAAAUUUUUUUUCCUAAUAUACCUGGUGAUACCAAGAACCAUAAUCCCACCUCCUCCUUUGCACAGAGGACCCAAUAAAAUGCAUUUGAGGCCUA